AUUUUGACCACCCUGAAUAUUUUAUUUUGCACCUUGACCCCUUGACACCCAAAGUCUGAAACUCCACUCUCACAAUACAAUUUCACACUUCUCUCUACACUUCUCUCUAAACUAAUAUUCUCUCAUAUCAUGUCAAAACUAUUCACACAAACCACCGAAAAUUUGAUCUGAAGAUUCUGAACCGGCGGCGGCGACCACUCCAGCCACCACCACUGUCCAUGACCGCGCGAGAUCUCCUCUCAGUCUCCUAUCUCUGCGAUUUUUCAGUGCGAUUUCUCCAUUUUUCUCUGCGAUUUUGUUGUGCGAAUUUCUCAGAUUUCUGUGCGAUUUCUCUCCCUAUUCAUCACCACAACCCUUCCUCACGAAGAUUCAGACAACAUUAGCAAGCCAAAAUGAUUUGUCCUGACCAUGAAGGUGCGGAAGAAGAAAAGCAACAACUCCAUCAAUUUUCCAUUUACAUUCUAUUUAAUUUGAGUGAAAAGUAGCAACUUGAAUUUUUGCAGAUGAGAAACAGGAUUAGUGGUGGGAAGAUGAUGUUGAGAGAUGAAAAGUUUUGAAUACGCUUUCCUUUGUUCUAUCAAUUUUAGCAAUAUGUAUUCUGAUCCCAAGUGGGAAUGGGAUGGUAAGCAGGCUGGUGUUCUGGUUAAUAGCUUUGUUUUUCAUUUCAUAAAUGCUUUCUUUGCAAUGGAUAACCCCGGAAAAUGUAGAAUCCUCUCUAGUUUGUAUACCUGUCCUUUUCAUUUUUACUUUAAUUCAGACUAGCCAAUUCAAUGUACCUAAUUGGAAGCGCAGUGUUAAGAACCUGAGGAUGCAAUAAGAGAAACAGCAAUGAAGGUUGUGGGUCAGAGAUAGAUUAGUACAAUCAUUAAUGAGAUCCGCAACUCAAACAACCACCGGCCAAAUUCAUUGGUUCUCAUUGUUAUAGUUUGUUUUGUUUAUGUUUAUCUUUCUAUAGAUUUUGUUGAUUUGAUUGUUUAUGUUUGAAUCCAUGACCUAUUUAUGUACUAUUUUUCCAUUGAA
Molecule: long non-coding RNA, 1020 nt
Organism: Trifolium pratense (red clover)
Lineage: Eukaryota; Viridiplantae; Streptophyta; Magnoliopsida; Fabales; Fabaceae
Exons: 2
Source: RefSeq, a predicted model, not a curated record